GAAAAUACAAUGACUGAGCAAACAUUGCAACAUUAUUAGAAAAGAAAUUUAAAUAAAAUAAAGUGCUUUGCGCUAGAUGCUAAACGCACAUUAUUAUUAACUUCAUUCACCAGGUACGUAGCUGAGUCCCUCUAGUGGCAUAAACAUUUAUCCGGCUUCAGCAUGUUAUUAAAAUUCUAUUUUACAGCCACAUUAUAGCAGCAAAUUCACAGGUAGCUUUUUUGGACACUCCGAGGACUGUGGCAAAGUGAAUCUUGGAUUACUUACUGUGCAGGCUAGUGUUAAUGAAUGUAAAUUGAUUUUUAGCUGUGAGGGGCAAUUAUAGAUGCACUGGAAGAAGGGAAUUUUUGAAAGGACAUUGAAGAACUAAUUACUAUCAGUAAGAAACACGCAAAGAGCAACGUAAUACCCAGGACAGCCAAUAGGGAUAAAAGCUUAUACACAAAUCUCUCAUGACCUAGUAGUGAAGACUGUUUAAAAACACUGGUCUCCACUUAGCUUGUAAAUGUGCAUCACCCUCUUUCUCACUCAUAUAUUCUCUCUCUCUGACACACACACACACACACACACGCACACACGCUCCUGGAUUUGCAGAAGACAGACAUCUAGGGCACUUCUUGGAAUCCACAGGAAAAUCAUAUGGGAUUACAAAACCAGAGCAGAAUUGCUGAAAGCUGCCUCUCGAGGAUUGCAACUUCACCUUUUGCUUUUACGGAUGCUUGUUUACUAUCCUUGUGGUAACCUCUGGACAGCCAGUAAUCCAUUCAUUAUCCACACUGAUUGAGUGCAGGAGUAGUGCAGUGGUAACUACUUCACUCAGCUGACGG
This 827-nucleotide long non-coding RNA is filed under the name Calidris pygmaea (Spoon-billed sandpiper). RNAcentral's name for it is "lncRNA (ENSCPGG00000011417.1)". The record is from RNAcentral. Lineage: Eukaryota; Metazoa; Chordata; Aves; Charadriiformes; Scolopacidae.